This 253-nucleotide ribosomal RNA is filed under the name uncultured bacterium. RNAcentral describes it as "partial 16S ribosomal RNA". It matches the Rfam family "Bacterial small subunit ribosomal RNA", at positions 524 to 776 of the family's 1533-position model. The record is from RNAcentral.
UACGAAGGGGGCUAGCGUUGCUCGGAAUCACUGGGCGUAAAGCGCACGUAGGCGGCUUGUUAAGUCAGGGGUGAAAUCCUGGAGCUCAACUCCAGAACUGCCUUUGAUACUGGCGAGCUUGAGUCCGGGAGAGGUGAGUGGAACUGCGAGUGUAGAGGUGAAAUUCGUAGAUAUUCGCAAGAACACCAGUGGCGAAGGCGGCUCUCUGGGACGUGACUGACGCUGAGACGCGAAAGCGUGGGGAGCGAACAGG